ACGGCUCAGUAACACGUAGAUAACUGCCCUUUGGGUCCGGCAUAACCCCGGGAAACUGGGGAUAAUACCGGAUAACGCACAUAUGCUGGAAUGCUUUAUGCGUAAAAUGGAUUCGUCUGCCCAAGGAUGGGUCUGCGGCCUAUCAGGUAGUAGUGGGUGUAAUGUACCUACUAGCCAACAACGGGUACGGGUUGUGAGAGCAAGAGCCCGGAGAUGGAUUCUGAGACAUGAAUCCAGGCCCUACGGGGCGCAGCAGGCGCGAAAACUUUACAAUGCUGGCAACAGCGAUAAGGGGACCUCGAGUGCCAGGAUACAAUCUUGGCUGUCGUAAUGCCUAAAAAGCAUUGCAUAGCAAGGGCCGGGCAAGACCGGUGCCAGCCGCCGCGGUAACACCGGCGGCUCGAGUGGUAACCGCUAUUAUUGGGUCUAAAGGGUCUGUAGCCGGCCGGAUAAGUCUCUUGGGAAAUCCAGCUGCUCAACAGUUGGGCUUUCAGGAGAUACUGUUCGGCUCGAGGCCGGGAGAGGUGAGAGGUACUUCAGGGGUAGGGGUGAAAUCUUGUAAUCCUUGAAGGACCACCAGUGGCGAAGGCGUCUCACCAGAACGGUCCUGACGGCAAGGGACGAAAGCUAGGGGCACGAACCGGAUUAGAUACCCGGGUAGUCCCAGCUGUAAACGAUGCAGACUCGGUGAUGGGCUGGCUUCGUGCCAACCCGGUGCCGCAGGGAAGCCGUUAAGUCUACCGCCUGGGGAGUACGGUCGCAAGACUGAAACUUAAAGGAAUUGGCGGGGGAG
RNAcentral lists this ribosomal RNA (793 nucleotides) under uncultured archaeon. Its description in RNAcentral is "bacterial SSU rRNA". It matches the Rfam family "Archaeal small subunit ribosomal RNA", at positions 85 to 876 of the family's 1478-position model. The record is from RNAcentral.